RNAcentral lists this long non-coding RNA (1025 nucleotides) under Cyanistes caeruleus (blue tit). RNAcentral describes it as "lncRNA (ENSCCEG00000019416.1)". Lineage: Eukaryota; Metazoa; Chordata; Aves; Passeriformes; Paridae. The record is from RNAcentral.
GCACAGCCACAUGCUCACUCCCCCUCAGUGGGAUGGGGGAGAGAAUCAGAAGGGUAAAAGUGAGAACACUUGUGGGUUGAGAUAGAAGUUUAAUGGGGAAAGCAAAAGCCAUAUUCACAAGUAAAGCAAAACAAGAAAUUCAUUCCCCACUUCCCAUGGGCAGGUAUCCAGGCAUCCGCAGGAAAGCUGGGCUCCAUCACACCUAACUUGGGAAUACAAACACCAUCACUCCAAACAUUCCCCCUUCCUCCUGCACAACAGCAGCCUACACUUCAGGUAAUUGAGAGCCUUAUGCUCUGCAAAAGCAAAAUUAGUCUGAGACAAUAUAUUGAUAUUUACAGCUUGGGAAAAUGUCUUCACCCGGUUUUCAGAGAAGGGCACAACUAAGCUUCAGUGCUGAGGCACCAUUCCGAGGAACGUGUGGAACGGGGCUUCCACACAAUGAUCAAGCCGGCCCCACUAAAACAAGCAGUGGCUCAGGAGAUCAUAAUCCACUUGCAUUUGAGAACAAGGAGCUAUUGUAAUUAGGACAGGCUAGGCCAUUUUCACAUGAAGCAGCUUUCUGAAAAGCUACGGCAACAUUCAAGGCUGGGACAGAGAACUGCAGAGAAAGCCCAAACAAGGAAGAACGGAACUGGACACACUGAUAUCUCCAGGUUUCUCAGGGGCCAAGUCAGGCACUGACUCACUGGUCUCACACAUUGUGUGCUCUGAAGUUGUGAUGAUGUUACAACUCAGAGCAGGACAAGAUGUGAGAUCAGCCACGUCUGAUCCUGCCCUCUCCAUAAAUCCCAUGAGACAAGGGCGAUGGCAAGGCUGGGCCUUCACUGCCUCUACAACAACUUUUUAAUUAACACACAGGGAAAAAGGCAGACACCUUGCUGAAAUAUGGCAUAUGGAGAAAUCAAUGGGACAUAUUUAUUUCCCAGCAGUCAGAUACUGCAGAUACAUUCCUUUUCAUUAUUGCCUCUGUCCCCUCCCUCUUCCAAAAUAAAGGCAUUUGUAAAAAUAGAAAGGGGGAGGGC